UUUCCGUAGGUGAACCUGCGGAAGGAUCAUUAUUGAAUAAACAGUGUGGGUUGUUGCUGGCCUUCUGGCAUGUGCACGCCUGCCAUAUGUUUCAUUCCCUUCUUUCCACCUGUGCACUAUGUGUAGGCUAUGUAUGCUGUAUUGUCAGGCCCUUCAUAAGGCUUGGUUUAGAGAGGAUGCUUGUCUUUAUGAGGCAGGCUCAUCUUGGGCGUACAGGUCUAUGUUUUACACCAACACCAAAUGAAUGUCUUAGAAUGUAUUUUUUCAGGCUCUUGCUAGCCUUUAAACCAUAUACAACUUUCAACAACGGAUCUCUUGGCUCUC
This 324-nucleotide unclassified non-coding RNA is filed under the name plant metagenome. Its description in RNAcentral is "partial contains small subunit ribosomal RNA, internal transcribed spacer 1, and 5.8S ribosomal RNA". The record is from RNAcentral.